GUUUGAUCCUGGCUCAGAGCGAACGUUAGCGGCAGGCUUAACACAUGCAAGUCGAGCGAGAAAGGGGCUUCGGCUCCGAGUAAAAGCGGCGGACGGGUGCGUAACACGUGGAUAAUCUGCCUCGUGGCGGGGGACAACAGUCCGAAAGGACUGCUAAUACCGCAUGUCAGGUCGGAAACUCCGGUUUCUGACGAAAAAGAGGGCGUCCGCAAGGAGCUCUCACCACGAGAUGAGUCCGCGUCCCAUCAGCUAGUUGGCGGUGUAAUGGACCACCAAGGCUUAGACGGGUAGCUGGUCUGAGAGGAUGACCAGCCACACUGGGACUGAGACACGGCCCAGACUCCUACGGGAGGCAGCAGUGGGGAAUAUUGGACAAUGGGCGAAAGCCUGAUCCAGCCAUGCCGCGUGAGUGAUGAAGGCCUUCGGGUCGUAAA
RNAcentral lists this ribosomal RNA (434 nucleotides) under uncultured bacterium. RNAcentral describes it as "bacterial SSU rRNA". It matches the Rfam family "Bacterial small subunit ribosomal RNA", at positions 11 to 429 of the family's 1533-position model. The record is from RNAcentral.